GAUGAACGCUGGCGGCGUGCCUAAUACAUGCAAGUCGAGCGAACAGACGAGGAGCUUGCUCCUCUGACGUUAGCGGCGGACGGGUGAGUAACACGUGGAUAACUUCCCUUUAAGACUGGGAUACCUUCGGGAAACGGGGGCUAAUACGGGUUAAUUUAUGGAACGGCUUGGUUCAUUAGUGAAGGCGGGUUUUGUUGUACCUAUUAGAUGGAUCCGCGCCGCAUUAGCUAGUUGGUAAGGUAACGGCUUACCAAGGCAACGAUGCGUAGCCGACCUGAGAGGGUGAUCGGCCACACUGGAACUGAGACACGGUCCAGACUCCUACGGGAGGCAGCAGUAGGGAAUCUUCCGCAAUGGGCGAAAGCCUGACGGAGCAACGCCGCGUGAGUGAUGAAGGUCUUCGGAUCGUAAAACUCUGUUAUUAGGGAAGAACAAAUGUGUAAGUAACUAUGCACGUCUUGACGGUACCUAAUCAGAAAGCCACGGCUAACUACGUG
RNAcentral lists this ribosomal RNA (497 nucleotides) under uncultured bacterium. Its description in RNAcentral is "partial 16S ribosomal RNA". It matches the Rfam family "Bacterial small subunit ribosomal RNA", at positions 28 to 507 of the family's 1533-position model. The record is from RNAcentral.